UGAGACCUACGGGAGGCAGCAGUGGGGAAUAUUGCGCAAUGGGGGGAACCCUGACGCAGCAACGCCGCGUGAGUGAAGAAGGCCUUCGGGUUGUAAAGCUCUUUAGUCAGGGACGAAGAAUGACGGUACCUGAAGAAUAAGCUCCGGCUAACUACGUGCCAGCAGCCGCGGUAAUACGUAGGGAGCAAGCGUUAUCCGGAUUUACUGGGUGUAAAGGGCGUGUAGGCGGGCCUGAAAGU
RNAcentral lists this ribosomal RNA (239 nucleotides) under uncultured bacterium. RNAcentral describes it as "partial 16S ribosomal RNA". It matches the Rfam family "Bacterial small subunit ribosomal RNA", at positions 333 to 588 of the family's 1533-position model. The record is from RNAcentral.